Molecule: ribosomal RNA, 583 nt
Filed under: Embiotoca lateralis (striped seaperch)
Lineage: Eukaryota; Metazoa; Chordata; Actinopteri; Embiotocidae
Description: partial 16S ribosomal RNA
Rfam family: Bacterial large subunit ribosomal RNA
Source: RNAcentral
CAUCGCCUCUUGAAUAUAAAUAAUAAGAGGUCCCGCCUGCCCUGUGACCAUGAGUUUAACGGCCGCGGUAUUUUGACCGUGCAAAGGUAGCGCAAUCACUUGUCUUUUAAAUGAAGACCUGUAUGAAUGGCACGACGAGGGCUUAACUGUCUCCUUUUUCCAGUCAAUGAAAUUGAUCUUCCCGUGCAGAAGCGGGAAUAUGAACAUUAGACGAGAAGACCCUAUGGAGCUUUAGACACCAGGACAGUCCAUGUCAAGCACCCCUCAUUUAAAGGACUGAACUAAUUGGGCCCUGUUCUACUGUCUUUGGUUGGGGCGACCACGGGGAAACACAAAACCCCCAUGUGGACCAGGAAUACUUUUCCUACAACUAAGAGCUACAGCUCUAAUUAACAGAACUUCUGACCAGUAAUGAUCCGGCAAUGCUGAUCAACGGACCGAGUUACCCUAGGGAUAACAGCGCAAUCCCCUCUUAGAGCCCAUAUCGACGAGGGGGUUUACGACCUCGAUGUUGGAUCAGGACAUCCUAAUGGUGCAGCCGCUAUUAAGGGUUCGUUUGUUCAACGAUUAAAGUCCUACGUGA